AUUACAUUAAUGCAUGUAAGGUGAACUAGCAAACACCGUUGUAGUUACAUGCGGCUGUCUUCUUGUUUGAUGGCAGAUACUCCCUUCACCCUGGCCAAAAAGGCUAAAAUGACCAAAGAAAAAGUGGAAAACAGUUAAACAUGAGAGGUUUUUGGACAAAGUUUGUGUUUUUUCCAUUGUUUAAGCACUGCUUCCAGCCAAGAGUGAUACCAUAUAUGCCCUAUAGCUGCAGAAAAGGCUAACAUUGUUAUCUUUUUACAAAAAAAACAGCUAAACAUGAGAGGUUUUUGGACCAAUUUUGUGUUCUCGAUUCUUUAAGCACCGGUUUGAGCACCGUUUAAGCACCGGCACCGUUUCAAAAGUACCGGUUUGGCACCGGUAUCGGAUAAAACCUAAACGAUAC
This is a long non-coding RNA of Oreochromis aureus, 403 nucleotides long. The record is from Ensembl. NCBI's taxonomy places the organism in Eukaryota, Metazoa, Chordata, Actinopteri, Cichliformes, Cichlidae.